This 459-nucleotide ribosomal RNA is filed under the name uncultured bacterium. Its description in RNAcentral is "SSU rRNA". It matches the Rfam family "Bacterial small subunit ribosomal RNA", at positions 26 to 518 of the family's 1533-position model. The record is from RNAcentral.
AGAAUCAACGCUGGCGGCGUGCCUAACACAUGCAAGUCGAACGAGAAAGGGACUUCGGUCCUGAGUAUAGUGGCGCACGGGUGAGUAACACGUGAAUAAUCUACCUUCGAGUGGGGAAUAACUGAGAGAAAUCUUAGCUAAUACCGCAUAAUACCUACGGGUCAAAGCAGCAAUGCGCUUGAAGAGGAGUUCGCGGCAGAUUAGCUAGUUGGCGGGGUAAUGGCCCACCAAGGCGAUGAUCUGUAUCCGGCCUGAGAGGGCGCACGGACACACUGGAACUGAAACACGGUCCAGACUCCUACGGGAGGCAGCAGUGGGGAAUUUUGCGCAAUGGGGGAAACCCUGACGCAGCAACGCCGCGUGGAGGAUGAAGUAUCUUGGUACGUAAACUCCUUUCGAUGGGGAAGAUAAUGACGGUACCCAUAGAAGAAGCCCGGCUAACUUCGUGCCAGCAGCCGC